UACGGGGGGGGCAAGCGUUGUUCGGAAUUACUGGGCGUAAAGGGUUCGUAGGUGGCCUGCUAAGUCACACGUGAAAUCCCUCAGCUUAACUGGGGAACUGCGUGUGAGACUGGCGGGCUUGAGUGCAGGAGAGGAACGCGGAAUUCCAGGUGUAGCGGUGAAAUGCGUAGAUAUCUGGAGGAACACCGGUGGCGAAGGCGGCGUUCUGGACUGCAACUGACACUGAUGAACGAAAGCCAGGGGAGCAAACGGG
RNAcentral lists this ribosomal RNA (253 nucleotides) under uncultured bacterium. RNAcentral describes it as "partial 16S ribosomal RNA". It matches the Rfam family "Bacterial small subunit ribosomal RNA", at positions 524 to 776 of the family's 1533-position model. The record is from RNAcentral.